AUAUGGUAGGAGAGCGUUCUGUAAGCCUGCGAAGGUGUCUUGUAAAGGAUGCUGGAGGUAUCAGAAGUGCGAAUGCUGACAUGAGUAGCGAUAAUGGGGGUGAAAAGCCUCCACGCCGUAAGCCCAAGGUUUCCUGUUCAACGUUCAUCGGAGCAGGGUGAGUCGGCCCCUAAGGCGAGGCAGAGAUGCGUAGCUGAUGGGAAGCAGGUUAAUAUUCCUGCACCGUCGUAUGAUGCGAUGGGGGGACGGAUCGCGGAAGGUUGUCUGGCUGUUGGAAUAGCCAGUUUUUGACUCAUAGAAGGU
RNAcentral lists this ribosomal RNA (303 nucleotides) under Oxalobacteraceae sp. CFBP 8755. Its description in RNAcentral is "partial 23S ribosomal RNA". It matches the Rfam family "Bacterial large subunit ribosomal RNA", at positions 1223 to 1529 of the family's 2925-position model. The record is from RNAcentral. Lineage: Bacteria; Pseudomonadati; Pseudomonadota; Betaproteobacteria; Burkholderiales; Oxalobacteraceae.